RNAcentral lists this ribosomal RNA (1241 nucleotides) under metagenome. RNAcentral describes it as "bacterial LSU rRNA". It matches the Rfam family "Bacterial large subunit ribosomal RNA", at positions 1564 to 2815 of the family's 2925-position model. The record is from RNAcentral.
UGAAUACGAGACGCUACGGCGUCGAAGCAGUCUAUGUCAUACUUCCAAGAAAAGCUUGCACUGUCAUAAACAAAGAAUGCCUGUACCAUAACCGACACAGGUGGGUAGGUAGAGUAUACUAAGGGGCGCGAGAUAACUCUCUCUAAGGAACUCGGCAAAAUGACUCCGUAACUUCGGGAGAAGGAGUGCCUUAUUUAUAAGGUUGCAAUAACAAGAUCCAAGCAACUGUUUACCAAAAACACAGGUCUCCGCUAAGUCGUAAGACGAUGUAUGGGGGCUGACGCCUGCCCAGUGCCAGAAGGUUAAAGAAGUUGGUUAGCAUUCGCGAAGCUGAUAACUGAAGCCCUGGUGAACGGCGGCCGUAACAAUAACGGUCCUAAGGUAGCGAAAUUCCUUGUCGGGUAAGUUCCGACCCGCACGAAAGGCGUAAUGAUUUGGAUACUGUCUCGGAGAGGGGCUCGGUGAAAUAGACUUGUCUGUGAAGAUGCGGACUACCUGCACCUGGACAGAAAGACCCUAUGAAGCUUUACUGUAACCUGAAAUUGAAAUUGGACUUUAUUUGCGCAGUAUAGGUGGGAGGCGUUGAGAAUUUUCUUGCGGGAAGAUUGGAGCCAUCAGUGAGAUACCACUCUUGUAAUGUUAGAUUUCUAACUUUGGAUCAUUAUCUGGUCAAAGAACAGUUUCAGGCGGGCAGUUUGACUGGGGCGGUCGCCUCCUAAAUGGUAACGGAGGCGCACAAAGGUUUCCUCUGAACGGGUAGAAAUCGUAUCUAGAGUGUAAAGGCAUAAGGAAGCUUGACUGUGAGACCUACAAGUCGAGCAGGGACGAAAGUCGGUCUUAGUGAUCUGACGGUGCUGAGUGGAAAGGCCGUCACUCAACGGAUAAAAGUUACUCUAGGAUAACAGGCUGAUCUCCCCCAAGAGUUCACAUCGACGGGGAGGUUUGGCACCUCGAUGUCGGCUCAUCGCAUCCUGGGGCGGUAGUACGUCCCAAGGGUUGGGCUGUUCGCCCAUGAAAGCGGUACGCGAGCUGGGUUCAGAACGUCGUGAGACAGUUCGGUCCAUAUCCGGUGUAGGCGUUAGAAUAUUGAAAGGAGCCUUCUUUAGUACGAGAGGACCGAGAAGGACAUACCUCUGGUGUACCAGUUAUCGUGCCAACGGUAAACGCUGGGUAGCUAUGUAUGGAGAGGAUAACCGCUGAAAGCAUCUAAGUGGGAAGCCCACCUUAAGAUAAGUAUUCUC